Molecule: ribosomal RNA, 522 nt
Filed under: fungal sp.
Lineage: Eukaryota; Fungi
Description: eukaryotic LSU rRNA
Rfam family: 5.8S ribosomal RNA (bases 154-307)
Source: RNAcentral
UCGGGGCUUCGGGGUUCACUCCCAACCCCUGUGACAUACCUAUACGUUGCCUCGGCGGAUCAGCCCGCGCCCCGUAAAACGGGACGGCCCGCCCGAGGACCCCUAAACUCUGUUUUUAGUGGAACUUCUGAGUAAAACAAACAAAUAAAUCAAAACUUUCAACAACGGAUCUCUUGGUUCUGGCAUCGAUGAAGAACGCAGCAAAAUGCGAUAAGUAAUGUGAAUUGCAGAAUUCAGUGAAUCAUCGAAUCUUUGAACGCACAUUGCGCCCGCCAGUAUUCUGGCGGGCAUGCCUGUUCGAGCGUCAUUUCAACCCUCAAGCUCAGCUUGGUGUUGGGACUCGCGGUAACCCGCGUUCCCCAAAUCGAUUGGCGGUCACGUCGAGCUUCCAUAGCGUAGUAAUCAUACACCUCGUUACUGGUAAUCGUCGCGGCCACGCCGUAAAACCCCAACUUCUGAAUGUUGACCUCGGAUCAGGUAGGAAUACCCGCUGAACUUAAGCAUAUCAAUACCCCGGAGGAA